This 2094-nucleotide long non-coding RNA is filed under the name Medicago truncatula (barrel medic). RNAcentral describes it as "long non-coding RNA (MTRU_LNC008520)". The record is from RNAcentral. Lineage: Eukaryota; Viridiplantae; Streptophyta; Magnoliopsida; Fabales; Fabaceae.
CUCUCUCUCUCUCUCUCUCUCUCUCUCUCUCUCACUAUAACAUUUCCUUCAUAGGAUUUAUGUUAACCAUUCUAAAUUAUGUCUUUAAUUGGUUUUUAUUUUGAAUAUGAACAACUCAUUCUAUCACAGUUUAGUUUUCUAUUUUAAACAAAUUUAACACCACCAACAUAGGAUGAAGCAGGAGUAUCAAAAUCAAGUUUUGUUUGAUGGGAAAAAAUCUUACUUUACUGUGGUUGCAGGUUGCAAUCUUAUGUUUUUUUUUUUCUUCCGUAUUUUAUGGAUGGUGGUGUGGCUAGAUUUGAAAUUCAUACGCUGAAGAUGAUGAAGAGUGAUGCUUUUAUGAGAAGAUGAAAUUUGGACAGGUUUCUUUUCCCUCCACAUAUUUCUUUUUGUUGUUAUGAUUUCGUUUUUUGAUCAUUUUGUCUCAUUUUGUUGUGAGUUUAUGUUAGGCAUUUCAUUUUAUCUCAUUCUAUUUUUGUUAGGCAAAUUCAAUAUUGUGAAGCUUGAAAGAAGAAUGACUAUAUAUGCAGCUUGAAAGAAAAAAGAUACAAUUGGAAAAUAAAAGAAGAAUUAUAUCACAUAUUUUAGGCUUUAUGUGUAGUUCGUGAGAUUGAUACCGAUGUCUGCAAAAUUUUAUGUAAAGUAUCUAAACCUUUGCUCUUUAAUCAUUAUAUCAACUAUUUCUAAAUCUUUUCUCUUUAAACUUUCUAUUUUUCUACUACUUCGUUAGUUAUUUCAUCUAUUUCUUGCUUCAUUUCCUCUAUUUCAUGCUUCUGAUUGAGUAUCAUCCUAUUUUUGUUGAAUUAUGCAUUAGCCUUAGUUAGCAUAGCUCCAAAAUAUAUGCUUAUGAAAUGUGUUUCUUUAUUUUCAUAUACAGAUGUGUGCUUAACUAUUCAGAGCUGGUUCAAGGUAAUUUUCUGCAUAAUUUGGAGCGAGAUCGAGGUGAUUUUCUGCAUAAUUUAGAGCUGGUUUUCGGCAUGUGGACUAAUGUAAUGCAACAGCAGUGUUUUGGUAUUGCAGCUGCUACGUAGUGGUAUUUUUUCCUCCCUAUGUUCUGAUUUUUCUCUGUGGUCCAGCUGCACCAUAUCGGUUUUAUUUUCUUCUCUUUGCCUUUGUUUUCUGUGUGUUUUGGCUCAAUUUACAAAAAAAUUAUUGUCUUUUUAACUGGCUGUUUGUAUUGUUCUCCUGUUAGUUUUUCUGAAUAGGUUGUUGUAGUUUGGCUCUAUAGUGUAGUUGAUUUUGCUUUGUUUUCUUUGGGAUUGUUUCUUAUGUUCUCUUGGUUCUUAUUUCCUUGGGUUUCUAUUACUGCUACUGCAUAACUACUGUAUUUCAUGUUGUCUUUUUAUAAUGUUCAUUUAAAUUUUAUGUAGUGUCAACUAUAGGUAAUCCUUACAAAAAUAAGUUAACAACCUUACAUGGACAUUCAAGAACUGCUUGGGCUGCCAAUUGCAUGCUUAAUUUGUGAGUAUAAGUUUGGAACUAUUUGUUGAUUGUAAUUUUAUUAGUGUAAGUCAACUGAUAAAGGUUAAUCAAUAAUCACUCUCUUUCGUCUACAAUUUUUUUCUUUGUUAUAAUGGUUAUUCUUUGUUGUCGACUUCAUAGAUUUAUCAAAGAUCAAAUGCUAUCGAUUUUGAAUAACUCAGUUGGACCAAGCAUGGCUCAUUCCAUAUCAAUUUAAGAUUGCAAGUAUCUUUUAUUUUUCUAUGCUUAAUUGAAAUAAAUGUGCCCCUGUUGGUAGUUAUUUUAAAUUGGAUAGAAGAAAAUGUUGGAGAAAUGUGAAAUUGAACAGCAAGAAGACAAUUUAUCAAUCUAACAAUUAAAGUCUUUGUAAAAUCACGGAUCUCAUAUUCUGCAGCGUGCUAUAAAUGUAUGUUUGAUUGCAAGUUGCAACUAUAUCAGUUUGUUUUGAGUUGUAAGUAAAAAGUAAAUAUUGAGAUUUUGAGUCUAUUUUAGCAAUUUUGAUCAAUUUGUAAGGUAUUAGCCACUAUUUGAAAGUUCUUUCUUUGCUUGGUUUUAUGAUUUUUCAAGGAGCAUUACUUUGUGUGGCUAAUUUAGAUUGAUAGAGCUAUUCUUUUGUUGCACAUGAUUUGGCAG